UACGUAGGGUGCGAGCGUUAAUCGGAAUUACUGGGCGUAAAGCGUGCGCAGGCGGUUUUGUAAGCCAGAUGUGAAAUCCCCGGGCUUAACCUGGGAAUGGCAUUUGGGACUGCAAGGCUGGAGUUUGGCAGAGGAGACUGGAAUUCCCGGUGUAGCAGUGAAAUGCGUAGACAUCGGGAGGAAUACCGAUGGCGAAGGCAGGUCUCUGGGCUAUAACUGACGCUCAUGCACGAAAGCGUGGGGAGCAAACAGG
RNAcentral lists this ribosomal RNA (253 nucleotides) under uncultured bacterium. RNAcentral describes it as "partial 16S ribosomal RNA". It matches the Rfam family "Bacterial small subunit ribosomal RNA", at positions 524 to 776 of the family's 1533-position model. The record is from RNAcentral.